UACGUAGGGUGCGAGCGUUAAUCGGAAUUACUGGGCGUAAAGCGUGCGCAGGCGGCUUUGCAAGACAGAUGUGAAAUCCCCGGGCUCAACCUGGGAACUGCAUUUGUGACUGCAAGGCUAGAGUACGGCAGAGGGGGAUGGAAUUCCGCGUGUAGCAGUGAAAUGCGUAGAUAUGCGGAGGAACACCAACGGCGAAGGCAAUCCCCUGGGCCUGUACUGACGCUCAUGCACGAAAGCGUGGGGAGCAAACAGG
Molecule: ribosomal RNA, 253 nt
Filed under: uncultured bacterium
Lineage: Bacteria
Description: partial 16S ribosomal RNA
Rfam family: Bacterial small subunit ribosomal RNA
Source: RNAcentral